RNAcentral lists this ribosomal RNA (1098 nucleotides) under uncultured bacterium. Its description in RNAcentral is "bacterial SSU rRNA". It matches the Rfam family "Bacterial small subunit ribosomal RNA", at positions 131 to 1225 of the family's 1533-position model. The record is from RNAcentral.
CUUAAGUGGGGAAUAACGCAUCGAAAGGUGUGCUAAUACCGCAUGAGAUCUACGGAAGAAAGCAGGGGAUCGCAAGACCUUGCGCUAUACGAGCGGCCGAUGUCGGAUUAGCUAGUUGGUAGGGUAAAGGCCUACCAAGGCAACGAUCCGUAGCGGGUCUGAGAGGAUGAUCCGCCACACUGGGACUGAGACACGGCCCAGACUCCUACGGGAGGCAGCAGUGGGGAAUUUUGGACAAUGGACGCAAGUCUGAUCCAGCCAUGCCGCGUGAGUGAAGAAGGCCUUCGGGUUGUAAAGCUCUUUUGUCAGGGAGCAAAGCCUUAUCGAUAAUACCGAUAAGGGAUGAGAGUACCUGAAGAAUAAGCACCGGCUAACUACGUGCCAGCAGCCGCGGUAAUACGUGGGGUGCGAGCGUUAAUCGGAAUUACUGGGCGUAAAGCGUGCGCAGGUGGUUUUGUAAGCCAGAUGUGAAAUCCCCGGGCUCAACCUGGGAAUGGCAUUUGGGACUGCAAGGCUAGAGUGUGGCAGAGGGGGGUGGAAUUCCGCGUGUAGCAGUGAAAUGCGUAGAGAUGCGGAGGAACACCGAUGGCGAAGGCAGCCCCCUGGGUUGACACUGACACUCAUGCACGAAAGCGUGGGGAGCAAACAGGAUUAGAUACCCUGGUAGUCCACGCCCUAAACGAUGUCUACUAGUUGUUGGGGUAGCAAUACCUUAGUAACGCAGCUAACGCGUGAAGUAGACCGCCUGGGGAGUACGGUCGCAAGAUUAAAACUCAAAGGAAUUGGCGGGGGCCCGCACAAGCGGUGGAUGAUGUGGAUUAAUUCGAUGCAACGCGAAAAACCUUACCUACCCUUGACAUGUCAAGAAUAUCGCAGAGACGUGAUAGUGCCCGAAAGGGAACUUGAACACAGGUGCUGCAUGGCUGUCGUCAGCUCGNGUCGUGAGAUGUUGGGUUAAGUCCCGCAACGAGCGCAACCCUUGUCCUUAGUUGCUACCAUUAAGUUGAGCACUUUAAGGAGACUGCCGGUGACAAACCGGAGGAAGGUGGGGAUGACGUCAAGUCCUCAUGGCCCUUAUGGGUAGGGCUUCACACGUAA